RNAcentral lists this ribosomal RNA (229 nucleotides) under uncultured bacterium. Its description in RNAcentral is "partial 16S ribosomal RNA". It matches the Rfam family "Bacterial small subunit ribosomal RNA", at positions 568 to 796 of the family's 1533-position model. The record is from RNAcentral.
UCCGUAGGCGGGCUAAUAAGUCAGUGGUGAAAUCCCAGAGCUCAACUCUGGAACUGCCAUUGAUACUGUUAGUCUUGAAUUUAGUUGAGGUGGGCGGAAUACGUUAUGUAGCGGUGAAAUGCAUAGAUAUAACGUAGAACACCGAUUGCGAAGGCAGCUCACUAAGCUAACAUUGACGCUGAUGGACGAAAGCGUGGGGAGCGAACAGGAUUAGAUACCCUGGUAGUCC